GUCACUUACAGAUGGGCCCGCGGCGCAUUAGCUAGUUGGUGAGGUAAUGGCUCACCAAGGCGACGAUGCGUAUGCGACCUGAGAGGGUGAUCGGCCACACUGGGACUGAGACACGGACCACACUCCUACGGGAGGCAGCAGUAGGGAAUCUUCCGCAAUGGACGAAAGUCUGACAGAGCAACGCCGCGUGAGUGAUGAAGGUUUUCGGAUCGUAAAACUCUGUUGUCAGGGAAGAACAAGUGCCGGAAUAACUGCCGGCCCCUUGACGGUACCUGACCAGAAAGCCACGGCUAACUACGUGCCAGCAGCCGCGGUAAUACGUACGUGGCAAGCGUUGUCCGGAAUUAUUGGGCGUAAAGCGCGCGCAGGCGGUUUGUUAAGUCUGAUGUGAAAGCCCCCGGCUCACCGGGGAGGGUCAUUG
This 421-nucleotide ribosomal RNA is filed under the name Bacillus sp. (in: firmicutes). RNAcentral describes it as "bacterial SSU rRNA". It matches the Rfam family "Bacterial small subunit ribosomal RNA", at positions 214 to 628 of the family's 1533-position model. The record is from RNAcentral. Lineage: Bacteria; Bacillati; Bacillota; Bacilli; Caryophanales; Bacillaceae.